Molecule: ribosomal RNA, 205 nt
Filed under: uncultured soil bacterium
Lineage: Bacteria
Description: partial 16S ribosomal RNA
Rfam family: Bacterial small subunit ribosomal RNA
Source: RNAcentral
AGAUUGAACGCUGGCGGCAUGCCUUACACAUGCAAGUCGAACGGCAGCACGGGAGCAAUCCUGGUGGCGAGUGGCGAACGGGUGAGUAAUACAUCGGAACGUGCCCAAUCGUGGGGGAUAACGCAGCGAAAGCUGUGCUAAUACCGCAUAAGAUCUACGGAUGAAAGCGAGGGAUCGCAAGACCUUGCGCGAAUGGAGCGGCCGA